RNAcentral lists this ribosomal RNA (253 nucleotides) under uncultured bacterium. RNAcentral describes it as "partial 16S ribosomal RNA". It matches the Rfam family "Bacterial small subunit ribosomal RNA", at positions 524 to 776 of the family's 1533-position model. The record is from RNAcentral.
UACGUAGGGUGCGAGCGUUAAUCGGAAUUACUGGGCGUAAAGCGUGCGCAGGCGGUUCGUUAAGUUCGUUGUGAAAGCCCCGGGCUCAACCUGGGAAUGGCAAUGGAAACUGGCGGGCUUGAGUGUGGCAGAGGGGGGUGGAAUUCCGCGUGUAGCAGUGAAAUGCGUAGAGAUGCGGAGGAACACCGAUGGCGAAGGCAGCCCCCUGGGCCAACACUGACGCUCAGGCACGAAAGCGUGGGGAGCAAACAGG